Molecule: ribosomal RNA, 888 nt
Filed under: uncultured Gammaproteobacteria bacterium
Lineage: Bacteria; Pseudomonadati; Pseudomonadota; Gammaproteobacteria
Description: bacterial SSU rRNA
Rfam family: Bacterial small subunit ribosomal RNA
Source: RNAcentral
AGGGUUUGAUCAUGGCUCAGAUUGAACGCUGGCGGCAGGCCUAACACAUGCAAGUCGAACGGUAACAGAACUAGCUUGCUAGUUGCUGACGAGUGGCGGACGGGUGAGUAAUACUUAGGGAUCUGCCUCUGUGUGGGGGAUAACUAUUGGAAACGAUAGCUAAUACCGCAUAACGUCUACGGACCAAAGAGGGCUUCGGCUCUCGCGCAGAGAGGAACCUAAGCGAGAUUAGCUUGUUGGUGAGGUAAAGGCUCACCAAGGCGACGAUCUCUAGCUGUUCUGAGAGGAAGAUCAGCCACACUGGAACUGAGACACGGUCCAGACUCCUACGGGAGGCAGCAGUGGGGAAUAUUGCACAAUGGGGGCAACCCUGAUGCAGCCAUGCCGCGUGUGUGAAGAAGGCCUUCGGGUUGUAAAGCACUUUCAGUUGUGAGGAAAGGUUAGAAGUUAAUACCUGCUAGCUGUGACGUUAACAACAGAAGAAGCACCGGCUAACUCCGUGCCAGCAGCCGCGGUAAUACGGAGGGUGCGAGCGUUAAUCGGAAUUACUGGGCGUAAAGCGCACGCAGGCGGUCUGUUAAGCUAGAUGUGAAAGCCCCGCGCUCAACGUGGGAGGGUCAUUUAGAACUGGCAGACUAGAGUCUUGGAGAGGGGAGUGGAAUUCCAGGUGUAGCGGUGAAAUGCGUAGAGAUCUGGAGGAACAUCAAUGGCGAAGGCAACUCCCUGGCCAAAGACUGACGCUCAUGUGCGAAAGUGUGGGUAGCGAACAGGAUUAGAUACCCUAAUAGUCCACACCGUAAACGCUGUCUACUAGCUGUUUGUGCAUUUAAUCCGUGAGUAGCGAAGCUAACGCGAUAAGUAGACCGCCUGGGGAGUACGGCCGCAAGG